GUAGUACUCCCUCCGUCCAGAAAUACUUGUCUUAUAAAUGGAUAAAAUGGAUGUAUUUAUAAUUAAAAUAAGUCUAGACACACCGAUUUUUAGGACAAAUAUUUUCGGACAAAGGAAGUACAUA
Triticum aestivum (bread wheat) is the source of this 124-nucleotide non-coding RNA. The record is from Rfam. Lineage: Eukaryota; Viridiplantae; Streptophyta; Magnoliopsida; Poales; Poaceae.